This 468-nucleotide ribosomal RNA is filed under the name uncultured bacterium. RNAcentral describes it as "partial 16S ribosomal RNA". It matches the Rfam family "Bacterial small subunit ribosomal RNA", at positions 28 to 507 of the family's 1533-position model. The record is from RNAcentral.
GACGAACGCUGGCGGCGUGCUUAACACAUGCAAGUCGAACGGAAAGGCCCUGCUUUUGUGGGGUGCUCGAGUGGCGAACGGGUGAGUAACACGUGAGUAACCUGCCCUUGACUUUGGGAUAACUUCAGGAAACUGGGGCUAAUACCGGAUAGGAGCUCCUGCUGCAUGGUGGGGGUUGGAAAGUUUCGGCGGUUGGGGCUGGACUCGCGGCUUAUCAGCUUGUUGGUGGGGUAGUGGCUUACCAAGGCUUUGACGGGUAGCCGGCCUGGGAGGGUGACCGGCCACAUUGGGACUGAGAUACGGACCAGACUCCUACGGGAGGCAGCAGUGGGGAAUAUUGCACAAUGGGCGGAAGCCUGAUGCAGCAACGCCGCGUGCGGGAUGACGGCCUUCGGGUUGUAAACCGCUUUCGCCUGUGACGAAGCGUGAGUGACGGUAAUGGGUAAAGAAGCACCGGCUAACUACGUG